This 965-nucleotide long non-coding RNA is filed under the name Gossypium raimondii (Peruvian cotton). RNAcentral describes it as "long non-coding RNA (GRAI_LNC009965)". The record is from RNAcentral. Lineage: Eukaryota; Viridiplantae; Streptophyta; Magnoliopsida; Malvales; Malvaceae.
AAUCAAUAGCCGAGCGUGCUCCCCCCACCUCCAGCUACUCCGGCAGAUGGCCUAGGCCAUGAUGCCCUCCACUGCCACCUGAAGACAAGAAGAAAGAGGAUAAAAAUCAAGAGAUUAAAAAGAAAAUUAAAAGAGAGGGGAGGGGAUUCAGUCUUGAAGAAAAGGAAAGAAAAAAACACAGAGAGCAAAAAAAAAGAACCUACAUUCGGCCCCCCCAGAGCCGAAACUAACCACCACUCGCCACCUUCAAACCCGAACCCACACUCAUCGACCCUUGGUCUCCUACGGCCGCACAACUAAAACCAAUCUCCGCCUAUACCCUCGUCGCUCUCCCAAAAACCAUCACACCCACAGCCCUUCCACCCUCAUCAUCCACCAUUACCGAAAAAAAAAACAAAUCAAACAUAACAAGCAACAAGCAACCAAAUAAGCAAGAAAAAAGAUAAUAAAAAAUAGCAGCAAAAAAAGCCCACCGCCGCCGUCGAUCUCGAGCCAUCAUACCACCGCCGCAUCACUACUGUCCCAACACAUAACAAAGCAACCAAGAAGUGAUAAAAGAAAAAAAAUAGCAAGAAAAAAAAAUAGCAAGGAAAAAAAGAAAAAAACAAAGGAAAAAAGAAAAGAAAUGGGAGAAGGAGGAGCACCACCGUGCCCGUCGUACCGCUGGGCAGCAAGGCAUCGUCGACAAAAGCAGUGGAAGAGGGUUGAACGGGGAAGAAAGAAAGAAAGAAAAGAGAAGAAAGAAAUAAGGAGAAAAAAAGAAAGAAGAAGGAAGAAAAAAGAAAAAAUUAUUUAACAGUUGGGUCAAAUUGACCCGACCCGACCCGCACCGGACCCGAUUCGCCCAGUAGACCAGUGCCCAGCAGACUAGCAGAUUAGGCCCAAACAGCAGGCCCAAAAAAAACUGAUGCAACAAAAAAAAACAAGCAGCAACCCAUUCCAGCAAAGGCCCAGCAGCGCAGCAG